Molecule: ribosomal RNA, 868 nt
Filed under: uncultured archaeon
Lineage: Archaea
Description: bacterial SSU rRNA
Rfam family: Archaeal small subunit ribosomal RNA
Source: RNAcentral
CUUCCGGUGAUCCUGCCGGACCCGACUGCUAUCAGAGUGGGACUAAGCCAUGCGAGUCGACGUAGCAAUGCGUGGCGAACGGCUCAGUAACACGUAGUCAACAUGCCCAGGGGACGUGGAUAACCUCGGGAAACUGCGGAUAAACCACGAUAGGUCACGAUUUCUGGAAUGGAUCAUGGCCUAAAUCUACAUGGCCCCUGGAUUGGACUGCGGCCGAUCAGGCUGUUGGUGAGGUAAUGGCCCACCAAACCUAUAACCGGUACGGGCUCUGAGAGGAGAAGCCCGGAGAUGGGCACUGAGACAAGGGCCCAGGCCCUAUGGGGCGCAGCAGGCGCGAAACCUCUGCAAUAGGCGAAAGCCUGACAGGGUUACUCUGAGUGAUUUCCGCUAAGGGGAUCUUUUGGCACCUCUAAAAAUGGUGCAGAAUAAGGGGUGGGCAAGUCUGGUGUCAGCCGCCGCGGUAAUACCAGCACCCCGAGUGGUCGGGACGAUUAUUGGGCCUAAAGCAUCCGUAGCCGGUUCUGCAAGUCUUCCGUUAAAUCCAGCCGCUCAACGGAUGGGCCGCGGAGGAUACUACAGGACUAGGAGGCGGGAGAGGCAAGCGGUACUCAGUGGGUAGGGGUAAAAUCCUUUGAUCCAUUGAAGACCACCAGUGGCGAAGGCGGCUUGCCAGAACGCGCUCGACGGUGAGGGAUGAAAGCUGGGGGAGCAAACCGGAUUAGAUACCCGGGUAGUCCCAGCUGUAAACGAUGCAGACUCGGUGAUGGGCUAGCCUUGUGCCAGCCCAGUGCCGCAGGGAAGCCGUUAAGUCUGCCGCCUGGGGAGUACGGUCGCAAGACUGAAACUUAAAGGAAUGGGCGGGGGAGCA